Molecule: long non-coding RNA, 290 nt
Filed under: Mytilus galloprovincialis (Mediterranean mussel)
Lineage: Eukaryota; Metazoa; Mollusca; Bivalvia; Mytilida; Mytilidae
Source: RNAcentral
GUUGAUCUCCUAGCUACAAAAUGUAUCCAAAAUCAAAGAUGUGGAACAUAUUCUAUCAUAAUCAUUUGGUAACUAAUGCAAUUAAUGUCUCUUCCAUGCCCGUCUUGAACAUAAAAACUAAAUAAUAAAUAAACAACACUCCUAAUGCUCAGAUUGUUUGUCAUCGUGCAACACAACUAAUAACACCAUAUAGGAAAAACAUAGAACUCCUUUUGUCAUAAGACACUGUCAAACAUCCAAACAUACUAUCCACACUCAUAUGUGUCCACACUUGUUUAUAAUAAAAAAAU